CAAUAGCGUAUAUUAAAGUCGUUGCAGUUAAAAAGCUCGUAGUUGGAUUUCUGAUUGAAGCGACCGGUCGGGCGUUGAUUCGUCUGCACUGGAGUCGGUUUUGGCCAUCCUCUAGGAAAGUGCGUCUGGUAUUAAGUUAUCGGGCGUAUGAUCCUGGUCUUUUACUGUGAAAAAAUUAGAGUGUUUAAAGCAGGCCUUCGCCUUGAAUACAUUAGCAUGGAAUAAUAAGAUAGGACUUUGGUCUAUUUUGUUGGUUUGCAGACCGAAGUAAUGAUUAAUAGGGAUAGUUGGGGGUAUUUAUAUUCCGAUGUCAGAGGUGAAAUUCUUAGAUUUUCGGAAGAUAAACUUAUGCGAAAGCAUUUACCAAGGAUGUUUNCAUUA
Molecule: ribosomal RNA, 381 nt
Filed under: uncultured eukaryote
Lineage: Eukaryota
Description: partial 18S ribosomal RNA
Rfam family: Eukaryotic small subunit ribosomal RNA
Source: RNAcentral